This is a small nucleolar RNA of Carya illinoinensis, 107 nucleotides long. The record is from RefSeq and is a predicted model, not a curated record. Lineage: Eukaryota; Viridiplantae; Streptophyta; Magnoliopsida; Fagales; Juglandaceae.
UAUCCAUGAUGAGGAUAAGUAUUCAAAAAGUCUUUAAACCUUUCUUAGCAUUGAUAAAAGGUUUCACUCUCUUUUGUUCAAAAUUCAUAAUUUGCUUUUUUAGGGCA